This 427-nucleotide ribosomal RNA is filed under the name Daphnia longispina. RNAcentral's name for it is "partial 12S ribosomal RNA". Lineage: Eukaryota; Metazoa; Arthropoda; Branchiopoda; Diplostraca; Daphniidae. The record is from RNAcentral.
AAAUUUUUGAAGUUAUUUUAGCUUUUUUGUUGGGUGAAAUCAGUAUAAAGAGUUUUUCCUUCUUUAAAAAUUAAUAGGAAUUAAAAAACUCUGAUUUAAAACCAGGAUUAGAUACCCUGUUAUUCUGAGUUAUAUUUAGACAGGGUAGUAAAAGUUGUUCUUCAAACCCAAAGAUUUUGGCGGCACUUUAUCCAAAUAGAGGAGCUUGCCCCUUAAUCGAUAGUCCCCGUUUUAUCUUUCCUCUGUUUGUAGAGCUUGUAUACCGCCGUUGUCAGAUUACUUCUAGAGAAUGUUUUCAAAUUAAAAGAUUUUUUUACUUCAGGUCAAGGUGCAGUUUAUAUAGAGGUGAAGGUGAGCUACAAUUUUCUUUACAAAUAUGGAUACUAAGCCUCGAAGCUGGUUGAAGGUGGAUUUAUUAGUAAAGUAA